This 440-nucleotide ribosomal RNA is filed under the name uncultured bacterium. Its description in RNAcentral is "partial 16S ribosomal RNA". It matches the Rfam family "Bacterial small subunit ribosomal RNA", at positions 338 to 795 of the family's 1533-position model. The record is from RNAcentral.
CCUACGGGGGGCAGCAGUGGGGAAUAUUGCACAAUGGGGGAAACCCUGAUGCAGCGACGCCGCGUGAGUGAAGAAGUAUUUCGGUAUGUAAAGCUCUAUCAGCAGGGAAGAAAGUGACGGUACCUGACUAAGAAGCCCCCGCUAACUACGUGCCAGCAGCCGCGGUAAUACGUAGGGGGCCAGCGUUAUCCGGAUUUAAUGGGUGGAAAGGGAGCGUAGACGGCACUGCAAGUCUGGAGUGAAAGGCCGGGGCUGAACCCCCGGACUGCUUUGGAAACUGUCGGGCUGGAGUGCAGGAGAGGCAAGCGGAAUUCCUAGUGUAGCGGUGAAAUGCGUAGAUAUUAGGAGGAACACCAGUGGCGAAGGCGGCUUGCUGGACUGUAACUGACGUUGAGGCUCGAAAGCGUGGGGAGCAAACAGGAUUAGAUACCCUGGUAGUC